This is a non-coding RNA of Nelumbo nucifera (sacred lotus), 1504 nucleotides long. The record is from RefSeq and is a predicted model, not a curated record. Lineage: Eukaryota; Viridiplantae; Streptophyta; Magnoliopsida; Proteales; Nelumbonaceae.
AUUCCUGAUGGAUGUGCCCGUGAAAUCGGUGUGAGGCGCCUGUGAGAGGAGCAGAUCCGGUCACAGUUUGCCUCUGUACGUUCGGAAGUGAGAAAGCAGAAGCCCUCUAGAAAUGGCGGAGAAGUUAGCUCCUGAGAAGCGCCAUAGUUUCGUCCACGGCAUACUCUAUCUCCCUGUCUCUCUUCACCUUUUUCUGCAGUUUUUGACCACGGUCUCCCUCUCGUUUUUGUUCCCUCGAUUCAUCCAUAGUGUUCUCAUCGGCAAGAAUUUUGUUGUGAUUCAGGUCAAAAGGUCUUUGAAUGGGACAAUACACUCGCGGAGGUUAAUAAUUUAAUAUUUACAUCACACCCUUCAGCCCAACGUUUCUAAAAAGCUCUUCUACUGCAAGCAUGAUAUCACAGGCCCUGUGAAGACGAAUUCAUCAUUUUGGACUCUAGAGGAUGGUAUAAUGCACAUAACCCUUCAGAAGAGAGACAAAGGCCAGACUUGGUCUUCUCCUAUUUUGGGUCAGGCGACUCAGGCCCAGUUGGAUCUGUACUUGGCAGAUCAUGAACAAAAGCGCCUUAUGAUUCAGAGAUUCCAAGAGGAGAACCCAGGUUUUGAUUUCUCUCAAGCUCAGUUUGGUAGAAGUUUCCCUGAUCCACAGACAUUCAUAUGUGGGACCCACCCAGAUUGAUGAUCCUGGUUAUUCUACCACAGAUGAUAUAUUAAAAUAAAAUGACCAUGUGCUCUUGAUUGAACAACAAUGUUCCCUUCCAUUGGAAGCUAGUACGUGCUAGUUGCCUUCUAAUGUAGCUGGAUCGGCAUCAUGACCAUCAUCAUCAUCAUCUAAGCCUUAUCCAACUAUAUGGGUUGCCUUCUUGUGUAGCUGGAUCAUCAUCAUCUAAGCUGGAUGCAGUGCCAACCAUAUGGGGUCGGCUACAUUAAUCAUGUUUCACUAUUCUGUUGUUAUGUAGCUGGAUGCAGUGCCAAAUCACAGUGCAACAUCUAAUGCCAUUACUCAUCAGUCGUCUCUAUUCUAACCAGAAAUAACCAUAUUGUAAGUUGUAACUUGUCUUGAUCCAAACAACGUAAGCAAUUUCAUCAGGCAAGCAGGAACAAAAUUUGUUGAGUUGUUAGUGCCAAUCUGUUGUGAUUUGGACAUUCCAAUUUCCAGGCACGUGAUCUAUGCAAGUGGGGUGUGGGAGUGUUAAGCAGUUCUGUUUGCAGUGAUUUGGGAACAUCCAUCCUUGGAGAUCUCCAAUGAAGGUGAGGUGGGUCUCAUUCUUGUGACCUUGUCUUGUCCAAGCAUGGGCAAGGUAGGUAUAAGCUUUGCUGUACAGCCAGUGAAAAGAGGUAAAGCUCAUUUAUUUCCUGGGCCCAUACAUUGGCCCCAAACUGGUUCUAGUUUGAACAAUCAUACAAAGUUAAUAAACUGAUGGAAUGGACCAAUUCCAAAUUCUGCUCCCCCAUGGACUAGCUAAAAGCACGAUAUAGUAGUACAAGACUGGCUCUUUCUAGUUUC